RNAcentral lists this ribosomal RNA (439 nucleotides) under uncultured bacterium. RNAcentral's name for it is "partial 16S ribosomal RNA". It matches the Rfam family "Bacterial small subunit ribosomal RNA", at positions 339 to 795 of the family's 1533-position model. The record is from RNAcentral.
CUACGGGAGGCUCCAGUGGGGAAUAUUGCACAAUGGAGGAAACUCUGAUGCAGCAACGCCGCGUGGAGGAUGACACUUUUCGGAGCGUAAACUCCUUUUAUAUAGGAAGAUAAUGACGGUACUAUAUGAAUAAGCACCGGCUAACUCCGUGCCAGCAGCCGCGGUAAUACGGAGGGUGCAAGCGUUACUCGGAAUCACUGGGCGUAAAGAGCGUGUAGGCGGAUUAAUAAGUCAGAUGUGAAAGCCAAUGGCUCAACCAUUGAACUGCAUUUGAAACUGUUAAUCUAGAAUAUGGGAGAGGUAGAUGGAAUUUCUGGUGUAGGGGUAAAAUCCGUAGAGAUCAGAAGGAAUACCGAUUGCGAAGGCGAUCUACUGGAACAUUAUUGACGCUGAGACGCGAAAGCGUGGGGAGCAAACAGGAUUAGAUACCCGCGUAGUC